This 497-nucleotide ribosomal RNA is filed under the name uncultured bacterium. RNAcentral's name for it is "partial 16S ribosomal RNA". It matches the Rfam family "Bacterial small subunit ribosomal RNA", at positions 28 to 507 of the family's 1533-position model. The record is from RNAcentral.
GAUGAACGCUGGCGGCGUGCCUAAUACAUGCAAGUCGAGCGAACAGACUAGUAGCUGGCUCCUCGUACGUUAGCGGCGGGUAGGUGAUUAACACGUUGAUAACCUACCUAGGAUACUUGGAUAACUUCGGGAAACCUGAGCUAAGACCGGAUAUUAUAUUGAGCCUGAUGGUUGAAUGGUUUAAGGCGUUUGUGCUGGCACUUAGACAUUGAUCCGCGCGGCAUUAGCUAGUUGUUAAGGUAACGGCUUACCAAGGCAACGAUGCGUAGCCGACGUGAGAGAGUGAUCGGCCACACUGGAACUGAGCCAGGGUCCAGGCUACUACGGGAGGCCGCAGUAGCCAACCUUCCGCAACAGGCGAAAGCAUGGCGGAGCAACGGCGAGCGAGACAUGACGGUCUUCGGAUCGUAAAAAUCUGUUAUUAGGGAAGAACCAAUGUGUACGUAAACAUGCACGAAUUGACGGUACCUACUCAGAAAGCCACGGCUAACUACGUG